GACGAACGCUGGCGGCGUGCUUAACACAUGCAAGUCGAACGGAAAGGCCCUGCUUUUGUGGGGUGCUCGAGUGGCGAACGGGUGAGUAACACGUGAGUAACCUGCCCUUGACUUUGGGAUAACUUCAGGAAACUGGGGCUAAUACCGGAUAGGAGCUCCUGCUGCAUGGUGGGGGUUGGAAAGUUUCGGCGGUUGGGGAUGGACUCGCGGCUUAUCAGCUUGUUGGUGGGGUAGUGGCUUACCAAGGCUUUGACGGGUAGCCGGCCUGAGAGGGUGACCGGCCACAUUGGGACUGAGAUACGGCCCAGACUCCUACGGGAGGCAGCAGUGGGGAAUAUUGCACAAUGGGCGGAAGCCUGAUGCAGCAACGCCGCGUGCGGGAUGACGGCCUUCGGGUUGUAGACCGCUUUCGCCUGGGACGAAGCGUGAGUGACGGUAAUGGGUAAAGAAGCACCGGCUAACUACGUG
This 468-nucleotide ribosomal RNA is filed under the name uncultured bacterium. RNAcentral describes it as "partial 16S ribosomal RNA". It matches the Rfam family "Bacterial small subunit ribosomal RNA", at positions 28 to 507 of the family's 1533-position model. The record is from RNAcentral.